UGGAGAGUUUGAUCCUGGCUCAGGACGAACGCUGGCGGCGUGCUUAACACAUGCAAGUCGAACGGUAAGGCCCUUUCGGGGGUACACACGAGUGGCGAACGGGUGAGUAACACGUGGGUGACCUGCCCUGUACUUCGGGAUAAGCCUGGGAAACUGGGUCUAAUACCGGAUAUGACCUUCUCCUGCAUGGGGGUUGGUGGAAAGUUUUUGCGGUACAGGAUGGGCCCGCGGCCUAUCAGCUUGUUGGUGGGGUAAUGGCCUACCAAGGCGACGACGGGUAGCCGGCCUGAGAGGGCGACCGGCCACACUGGGACUGAGACACGGCCCAGACUCCUACGGGAGGCAGCAGUGGGGAAUAUUGCACAAUGGGCGAAAGCCUGAUGCAGCGACGCCGCGUGAGGGAUGACGGCCUUCGGGUUGUAAACCUCUUUCAGUAGGGACGAAGCGCAAGUGACGGUACCUACAGAAGAAGCACCGGCCAACUACGUGCCAGCAGCCGCGGUA
This 504-nucleotide ribosomal RNA is filed under the name Tsukamurella tyrosinosolvens. RNAcentral's name for it is "bacterial SSU rRNA". It matches the Rfam family "Bacterial small subunit ribosomal RNA", at positions 1 to 522 of the family's 1533-position model. Lineage: Bacteria; Bacillati; Actinomycetota; Actinomycetes; Mycobacteriales; Tsukamurellaceae. The record is from RNAcentral.